Long non-coding RNA from Oreochromis niloticus (Nile tilapia), 1164 nucleotides. RefSeq lists it as uncharacterized. The transcript is spliced from 7 exons. The record is from RefSeq and is a predicted model, not a curated record. NCBI's taxonomy places the organism in Eukaryota, Metazoa, Chordata, Actinopteri, Cichliformes, Cichlidae.
UGAAGACCUACCUCAAUUCGAGUGACACCUGUAAACUCUGCCUCAAUCCUCAACAAGGCUACAAACUGCAGAAACUACCAGUCUCUGCUUUGGACUGGCGUGCGUUCAGCCGCUGCAGUUUUCAUCUCGAGGACAGUGAACACACCUCCAUCAGCUCACUGGUCGCAGCAUACACCAACCAGAACAGCAUCGACUGGAAGGUUGGACUGGAUUUAACGAAGUUCAGCAACUUGGAGAUUGGAGGAACCAAAUCUAAGGCAUACACCUUUGCUACAGCCCAAAGCAGAGAGGACCGCUACACCUUCAGCACACAUAAAGUCACCUUUACCGUGUGUCCAACAGCCCUCCUCUCAGUGCUGAGUUCAGUAGAGAUUUGGCCAGACUGCCAGCUACCUGCAGCUAUGCAACCAGAGCCCAGUACAGACGCCUCAUAGACACAUACGGACACACUAUAUUCGCCAGGUUGAUCUUGGAGCGCAGUUCAGGCGAGUCACGUCUACACGUACCUGCUUGUCCAGUCUGAAUCAUAAUGAAUUAUAGACACCCACAGUACCUCUGCCUUGUACAGCUCUGGUCUCCACAGUCAUUAUUUAGAAGUGGUGGGAGGCAGAGGCUGGACUGGGGAGUUUUCACUCACCAGAAAUGACUCCCUGGGCUACCAGAAUUGGCUAAAAACCCUCAAGGAUCAGCCUGAUGUAGUUUGCUACUCCCUAAGACCACUGCAUGACCUGGUGCAACAGUCAGCACAAAAAGCAGGACUGAAGGCUGCCAUAGAGCAGUACUUAAAAGAUAACGCCAUCAGUAGAUCAAACAACACACAAUCUUCCUGUAGCAGCAGGGGUCCCGACCUGGAUUCCAAGUGUUGUCCUAAAGAGACUCAGAGGGGAACAGUGACGAUAACCAUGAUCCAAGCCUUUGGUCUGAAAGGAGAUUUUUGGGGCAAGACUGAGGGAUAUGUGAAGAUCUACUAUGACUACCCUAGGUACCAGACCAAUGUGAUCCGAUCUAACUCCCCCUCCUGGAUCACCUUUUACCGUCUGGAAAACGUCAGUACAAAACACUUUUACCUAAUUUUGUAUCCCCAACAAAAAGUAAAAGCAUGGACAUUUGAAAAAAAACCAAAGAUGAAACAAUUUAGAAUAAUUUCCUUAUUUGAAGAAAACA